Molecule: ribosomal RNA, 440 nt
Filed under: uncultured bacterium
Lineage: Bacteria
Description: partial 16S ribosomal RNA
Rfam family: Bacterial small subunit ribosomal RNA
Source: RNAcentral
CCUACGGGAGGCUGCAGUGGGGAAUAUUGCACAAUGGGGGAAACCCUGAUGCAGCGACGCCGCGUGAGUGAAGAAGUCAUUCGUUAUGUAAAGCUCUAUCAGCAGGGAAGAAAAUGACGCUACCUGAGUAAGAAGCCCCGGCUAACUACGUGCCAGCAGCCGCGGGAAUACGUAGGGGGCAAGCGUUAUCCGGAUUUACUGGGUGUAAAGGGAGCGUAGACGGCAGUGCAAGUCUGGAGUGAAAGGUGGGGGCUCAACCUCCGGAAUGCUCUGGAAACUGUACGGCUGGAGUGCAGGAGAGGUAAGUGGAAUACCUAGUGUAGCGGUGAAAUGCGUAGAUAUUAGGAGGAACACCGGUGGCGAAGGCGGCUUACUGGACUGUAACUGACGUUGAGGCUCGAAAGCGUGGGUAUCAAACAGGAUUAGAUACCCCAGUAGUC